RNAcentral lists this ribosomal RNA (460 nucleotides) under uncultured bacterium. Its description in RNAcentral is "partial 16S ribosomal RNA". It matches the Rfam family "Bacterial small subunit ribosomal RNA", at positions 338 to 795 of the family's 1533-position model. The record is from RNAcentral.
CCUACGGGUGGCAGCAGUGAGGAAUAUUGGUCAAUGGGCGCGAGCCUGAACCAGCCAAGUAGCGUGAAGGAUGACUGCCCUACGGGUUGUAAACUUCUUUUAUAAAGGAAUAAAGUGAGGCACGUGUGCCUUUUUGUAUGUACUUUAUGAAUAAGGAUCGGCUAACUCCGUGCCAGCAGCCGCGGUAAUACGGAGGAUCCGAGCGUUAUCCGGAUUUAUUGGGUUUAAAGGGAGCGUAGGUGGGUUGUUAAGUCAGUUGUGAAAGUUUGCGGCUUAACCGUAAAAUUGCAAUUGAUACUGUCAGUCUUGAGUAUAGAUGAGGUAGGCGGAAUGCGUGGUGUAGCGGUGAAAUGCUUAGAUAUCACGUAGAACACCGAUUGCGAAGGCAGCUUACUAAACUGCCACUGACAUUGAUGCACGAAAGUGUGGGUAGCAAACAGGAUUAGAUACCCGUGUAGUC